This 302-nucleotide ribosomal RNA is filed under the name uncultured bacterium. Its description in RNAcentral is "partial 16S ribosomal RNA". It matches the Rfam family "Bacterial small subunit ribosomal RNA", at positions 508 to 807 of the family's 1533-position model. The record is from RNAcentral.
GCAGUAGCCGCGGGAAUACGGAGGGUGCAAGCGUUAAUCGGAAUUACUGGGCGUAAAGCGCACGCAGGCGGUCUGACAAGUCAGAUGUGAAAUCCCCGGGCUUAACCUGGGAACUGCAUUUGAAACUGUCAGGCUGGAGUCUUGUAGAGGGGGGUGGAAUUCCAGGUGUAGCGGUGAAAUGCGUAGAGAUCUGGAGGAAUACCGGUGGCGAAGGCGGCCCCCUGGACAAAGACUGACGCUCAGGUGCGAAAGCGUGGGGAGCAUACAGGAUUAGAUACCCCGGUAGUCCCUGUCUCUUAUAC